CCUACGGGUGGCAGCAGUGAGGAAUAUUGGUCAAUGGACGAGAGUCUGAACCAGCCAAGUAGUGUGAAGGAUGACUGCCCUAUGGGUUGUAAACUUCUUUUAUAAAGGAAUAAAACGAGGCACGUGUGCCUUUUUGCAUGUACUUUAUGAAUAAGGAUCGGCUAACUCCGUGCCAGCAGCCGCGGUAAUACGGAGGAUCCGAGCGUUAUCCGGAUUUAUUGGGUUUAAAGGGAGCGUAGAUGGGUUGUUAAGUCAGUUGUGAAAUUUUGCGGCUCAACCGUAAAAUUGCAAUUGAUACUGGCAGUCUUGAGUACAGUUGAGGUAAGCGGAAUUCGUGGUGUAGCGGUGAAAUGCUUAGAUAUCACGAAGAACCCCGAUUGCGAAGGCAGCUUACUAAACUGUGACUGACAUUGAUGCUCGAAAGUGUGGGUAUCAAACAGGAUUAGAUACCCUGGUAGUC
This 460-nucleotide ribosomal RNA is filed under the name uncultured bacterium. RNAcentral describes it as "partial 16S ribosomal RNA". It matches the Rfam family "Bacterial small subunit ribosomal RNA", at positions 338 to 795 of the family's 1533-position model. The record is from RNAcentral.